Molecule: ribosomal RNA, 328 nt
Filed under: uncultured diatom
Lineage: Eukaryota; Bacillariophyta
Description: bacterial SSU rRNA
Rfam family: Bacterial small subunit ribosomal RNA
Source: RNAcentral
AAUUUCCAGUCGAGUUCCUACGGGAGGCAGCAGGGGGGAAUUUUCCGCAAUGGUCGAAAGCCUGACGGAGCAAUACCGCGUGAGGGAAGACGGCCUAUGGGUUGUAAACCUCUUUUUUCAGGGAGGAAUCAAUGACGUGUACCUGAAGAAUAAGCAUCGGCUAACUCCGUGCCAGCAGCCGCGGUAAGACGGAGGAUGCAAGUGUUAUCCGGAAUCACUGGGCGUAAAGCGUCUGUAGGUGGUUGAACAAGUCAAUCUGUUAAAUAAAGAGGCUUANCUCCAAAAUCGCAGUCGAAACCGUUGCCUAGAGUAUGUAGGGAAUGAUCCC